UGGGGAAUUUUGCACAAUGGGGGAAACCCUGAUGCAGCGACGCCGCGUGAUUUAGAAGGCCUUCGGGUUGUAAAAAUCUUUUCUAUGGGAAGAAAAUGACAGUACCAUAGGAAUAAGGACCGGCUAAUUACGUGCCAGCAGCCGCGGUAAUACGUAAGGUCCGAGCGUUGUCCGGGAUCAUUGGGCGUAAAGGGUACGUAGGCGGGUAAGCAAGUUAGAAGUGAAAUCCUGUAGCUCAACUACAGUAAGCUUUUAAAACUGCUCAUCUUGAGAUAUGGAAGGGAAAGUGGAAUUCCUAGUGUAGCGGUGAAAUGCGCAGAUAUUAGGAGGAAUACCGGUGGCGAAGGCGACUUUCUGGCCAUAAUCUGACGCUGGGGUACGAAAGCGUGGGUAGCAAACAGG
RNAcentral lists this ribosomal RNA (402 nucleotides) under Bacteroidota bacterium. RNAcentral describes it as "Bacteroidetes bacterium partial 16S ribosomal RNA". It matches the Rfam family "Bacterial small subunit ribosomal RNA", at positions 355 to 776 of the family's 1533-position model. The record is from RNAcentral. Lineage: Bacteria; Pseudomonadati; Bacteroidota.